GGGAGACUGAGGGCCAGAAAGCCACCCUCCCUCUCCCGAGCCAGCCCAGCCCUCUGGCAGGCACCACCUGCGCCCCUCCCAUCAUUGCCUGGCGCUGUCUGGAGGGGAAGGCAGAGUUCACAGUGGUUAGCGGCUUGCCAAGUUCACACAGCCAGUCGGUCCCAAUGAAAACAUGGGAAACAGGGCGGAGGAGAAUGGGUUCAUUUUCCCACAUUAGAGCCCCCCCUCACCUCCACCACAUCCCCUCCCCCACACCCCCACCUAGAAGAAAUCAGUAGAUUAGAAACCCAGAAUGUUGAGAAAGCGCGCCCAGGAAAGGAUGAGCUCAGGGAGGCUGAUCUAGGAGCAGGUGCGGAAGCUGCGGCUCGGAGACUGGACAAGGCCAGACUGGGACGCCUGGGAGCCCAGCCACACCCCCUGAGCCCUUUCCAAGUCACCGGAGAAGGUGGCUGCUGUGCUGUUGGGUACGGACGGUUUAUGACUGUUCUAGCCUCCUCGGGGAACGUGCCUUCCUUCAUUAAAUAAGGUUCCUCUUUGUCCCGUGUCAUGCUUUUAGACUUGAAUUCU
Molecule: long non-coding RNA, 567 nt
Filed under: Mustela putorius furo (domestic ferret)
Lineage: Eukaryota; Metazoa; Chordata; Mammalia; Carnivora; Mustelidae
Description: lncRNA (ENSMPUG00000025096.1)
Source: RNAcentral